CUUGCUUGUGUAUUAACUGGGUGUGCCUAAAUGUACUUGCCAUGUUAAAUGUAUAUUUGUUAUCUGCAGUAAUUGUAACCUUCUUGUGUUUGCCUUUAUCUGUCUAUUUGUCUGUGAAAAUACAUGAUGGAACUGGAGGUAUGGAGGAAAGGCAGUAUGGGACUUAGAGAUUUAAGAUGCAGGUCGAGAGGCAUCUCGUUAGGCGUCUGGACUCUUGAGGCGGAGUGGUUACUGGGAUAUUUUGUUAUGCUAUGAUGUAUAUAUAUGUACUUAGCUUUCUCUCCGCAUGACUUAUUCUUUUUUAUCCUCUUAGAGGUUUAUGGAGAGGCAGGAUUGUGUAUAUGUACUUUUGGGUUUUUGAUAUGUAUGUAUAUAUGUGUAAAUAUUCUCCGGCCAGUCUUGACUUCGCAGGCUGAGUUAGGAGCUUGUUAUUUUGUAUCUUUGGUAUUCUACCCCUACUUCUGUUAUCUUAUGUUUAAUAGUUAUGGUUUUCUUAGCACGCA
This is a long non-coding RNA of Arachis stenosperma, 503 nucleotides long. RefSeq lists it as uncharacterized. NCBI's taxonomy places the organism in Eukaryota, Viridiplantae, Streptophyta, Magnoliopsida, Fabales, Fabaceae. The record is from RefSeq and is a predicted model, not a curated record. The transcript has 2 exons.